This 253-nucleotide ribosomal RNA is filed under the name uncultured bacterium. Its description in RNAcentral is "partial 16S ribosomal RNA". It matches the Rfam family "Bacterial small subunit ribosomal RNA", at positions 524 to 776 of the family's 1533-position model. The record is from RNAcentral.
GACGGAGGGUGCAAGCGUUGUUCGGAAUUACUGGGCGUAAAGAGCGUGUAGGCGGCCUGAUAAGUCGAAUGUGAAAGCCCGAGGCUCAACCUCGGAAGUGCAUUCGAUACUGUCGGGCUUGAGUACGGGAGAGGGAAGUGGAAUUCCUGGUGUAGAGGUGAAAUUCGUAGAUAUCAGGAGGAACACCGGUGGCGAAGGCGGCUUCCUGGACCGAUACUGACGCUGAGACGCGAAAGCGUGGGGAGCAAACAGG